CUACCUCUACAGCUUUGUCCAUUGUACAUGUGCCCCGUGUGCCACAGCUCUACCUCUACAGCUCUGUCCAUUGUACAUGUGCCCCGUGUGCCACAGCUCUACCUCUACAGCUCUGUCCAUUGUACAUGUGCCCCGUGUGCCACAGCUCUACCUCUACAGCUUUGUCCAUUGUACAUGUGCCCCGUGUGCCA
Molecule: long non-coding RNA, 191 nt
Organism: Haliotis rufescens (red abalone)
Lineage: Eukaryota; Metazoa; Mollusca; Gastropoda; Lepetellida; Haliotidae
Exons: 2
Source: RefSeq, a predicted model, not a curated record